UCUUGGUCAUUUAGAGGAAGUAAAAGUCGUAACAAGGUUUCCGUAGGUGAACCUGCGGAAGGAUCAUUACCAAGAGUCCGUACCAAAAGCCCACUGGCUCUGCCUUUGCGGCGGUGUACAGCUCAUACUACACCCUUAUUUAUACGCACCUUUUUGUUGUUUCCUCGGCGGGUCCGCUCGCCGAUAGGAAGCCCAUCAAACCCUUUGCAUCAGCAUGAAAACUUCUGAACAAACCCUAAAUAUUUACAACUUUCAACAAUGGAUCUCUUGGUUCUGGCAUCGAUGAAGAACGCAGCGAAAUGCGAUAAGUAGUGUGAAUUGCAGAAUUCAGUGAAUCAUCGAAUCUUUGAACGCACAUUGCGCCCCUUGGUAUUCCAUGGGGCAUGCCUGUUCGAGCGUCAUUUACACCCUCAAGCGUUGCUUGGUGUUGGGCGUCUGUCCAGCCGACUCGGCGCGGACUCGUCCUAAAAAUAUUGGCAGCGGUCCUAACCAGCCUCUCGCGCAGCAGUUCGCGCUUCUCGAGGAACAAGGGGAGGUCGCGUCCACGAAGCUUACUUUUUGACUUGACCUCGGAUCAGGUAGGGAUACCCGCUGAACUUAAGCAUAUCAAUAAGCUGA
RNAcentral lists this ribosomal RNA (618 nucleotides) under uncultured Ascomycota. Its description in RNAcentral is "eukaryotic LSU rRNA". The stretch from base 248 to 401 matches the Rfam family "5.8S ribosomal RNA". The record is from RNAcentral. Lineage: Eukaryota; Fungi; Ascomycota.